UUUGGUGGCGAUAGCGAAGAGGUCACACCCGUUCCCAUGCCGAACACGGAAGUUAAGCUCUUCAGCGCCGAUGGUAGUCGGGGGUUUC
Molecule: ribosomal RNA, 88 nt
Filed under: Bacillus amyloliquefaciens
Lineage: Bacteria; Bacillati; Bacillota; Bacilli; Caryophanales; Bacillaceae
Also listed under: 1 other name
Source: RNAcentral